ACGUCCCUGUCCUUCAUGAUAUGAUUGACUCUUCAUCAUCCAUCCCUUUUUCCUUCAGAUUCAAGCUCCAGCAGCUUGUUUUCAGCUGAUGAAUCUCUUAUCUUCCUUCUUUUCCAUCACUGCAUCUUGAACUAGUCCUUCCCUCUAUAGCUUUAUUAAUGUUAUCUCUCCCCUUUUUAAAUCGACGCUUCAAAAUAUGCCGUCAAUCAUUGCAUUAGAG
RNAcentral lists this long non-coding RNA (220 nucleotides) under Manihot esculenta (cassava). RNAcentral describes it as "long non-coding RNA (MESC_LNC010878)". Lineage: Eukaryota; Viridiplantae; Streptophyta; Magnoliopsida; Malpighiales; Euphorbiaceae. The record is from RNAcentral.